RNAcentral lists this ribosomal RNA (274 nucleotides) under uncultured bacterium. RNAcentral describes it as "partial 16S ribosomal RNA". It matches the Rfam family "Bacterial small subunit ribosomal RNA", at positions 523 to 796 of the family's 1533-position model. The record is from RNAcentral.
AUACGGAGGGUGCAAGCGUUAUUCGGAAUCACUGGGCGUAAAGGACGCGUAGGCGGGUUGGCAAGUCAGAUGUGAAAUCCUACAGCUUAACUGUAGAACUACAUUUGAAACUGCUAACCUAGAGUAUGGGAGGGGGAGAUGGAAUUAGUGGUGUAGGGGUAAAAUCCGUAGAUAUCUCUAGGAAUACCGAAAGCGAAGGCGAUCUCCUGGAACAUAACUGACGCUAAGGCGUGAAAGCGUGGGGAGCAAACAGGAUUAGAAACCCUAGUAGUCC